This 429-nucleotide ribosomal RNA is filed under the name uncultured bacterium. Its description in RNAcentral is "bacterial SSU rRNA". It matches the Rfam family "Bacterial small subunit ribosomal RNA", at positions 917 to 1344 of the family's 1533-position model. The record is from RNAcentral.
GGACCCGCACAAGUAGUGGAGCAUGUGGUUUAAUUCGAAGAUACGCGCAGAACCUUACCAACACUUGACAUGUUCGUCGCGACUUUAAGAGAUUAAAGUUUUCGGUUCGGCCGGACGAAACACAGGUGCUGCAUGGCUGUCGUCAGCUCGUGUCGUGAGAUGUUGGGUUAAGUCCCGCAACGAGCGCAACCCUCACUUUUAGUUGCCAUCAUUAAGUUGGGCACUCUGAAAGAACUGCCAGUGAUAAGCUGGAGGAAGGUGGGGAUGACGUCAAGUCCUCAUGGCCCUUACGUGUUGGGCUACACACGUGCUACAAUGGUAUCUACAACAGGAAGCAAGACUGCGAAGUUAAGCAAAUCCCUAAAAGAUACCUCAGUUCGGAUUGCACUCUGCAACUCGACGGCAUGAAGUCGGAAUCGCUAGUAAUCG